Molecule: long non-coding RNA, 738 nt
Filed under: Rhinopithecus bieti (black snub-nosed monkey)
Lineage: Eukaryota; Metazoa; Chordata; Mammalia; Primates; Cercopithecidae
Description: lncRNA (ENSRBIG00000046098.1)
Source: RNAcentral
GGUUGUAGUUUCUGAUUUAUACAUAUGUAUAUACAGUUUCAGUCUACUGUAAAGGGAAGAGAAAGAAAGAAAACAGAGGAGAUUAUGAUAUGGAUGGAUGAUGGAAGGAAAGAUCUAUGAAUUUAAUAUCUGAGUUUCAGUUACUGGACUUUACUUCUUCCAGAAAGUCAGGCCAAAAGGUCCAGUUCGAUGGUGGCCGUGAAGGGAUCUGAUGCUCAGUAACGUGAGGUGCACCUGCAGCAAGAGGUGGUGGAGAGGGUAUCUGAGUAGACUGAGAAAUUGUAAACCUCACAAUCAAGAGAGCUGCGUGAUCCGAACGAGUAGGCAAACCAGGCUCGGGGAACUGGCACAGUCCCCACGGAUCCACAUGGAAGCUGAGUCUUGCCAGUCUGCAUGGACAUUCCCCUCUCUAAAAGCCAUAAGACGUUCUACUUGGCAGCACUACAUAGUAGAAAAAUGUGGAUAUAGAAGUUGGGAAACCUGGAAUGUGGUUCUCACUAGCUUGGUGACCUUGGGUAAACUAUUUAGGUUUUCUGAGCCAAGCUUUUUCUAUCAUAAAAUGGGAGUAAUAAUACCUCCCUCCCCUAAGUACAAUGUUGUUUUGAGAAUUAAGUGUAUUUGUGAGAGUGCUUAGGAAACUGUGAAGACCUCUGGAUAUCUUACUCACUAUUUUUUAGUUUGUCAAAUCAAACUCUUACUCUAGAAUGGAUAAGUCUAUUCACAGUGAAUGUUCACUUA